UCUGGCUUUAGUUAGAUUGAAUA
Molecule: small nuclear RNA, 23 nt
Filed under: Arabidopsis thaliana (thale cress)
Lineage: Eukaryota; Viridiplantae; Streptophyta; Magnoliopsida; Brassicales; Brassicaceae
Description: snRNA_10325
Source: RNAcentral